This is a long non-coding RNA of Acomys russatus (golden spiny mouse), 373 nucleotides long. RefSeq lists it as uncharacterized. NCBI's taxonomy places the organism in Eukaryota, Metazoa, Chordata, Mammalia, Rodentia, Muridae. The record is from RefSeq and is a predicted model, not a curated record. The transcript has 6 exons.
UUCUAUAACCUGUUUACCAUGAAACAUGUUAUAAAAGGAUAAUUUAUCACAUAUUCUACCCAGUUGUUAUAAAAAUAUAAGUAUUUUGUAAUUUUAGGUUGUUGCUAAUCUGGUCUGGCAUGGUCUGUUUAGGGUACUUUGACAAAAUACUGUAGAGCAGACAACUUAUAGACAAAAUAAGUACUAAGCUCUUCCAGGCUUAUAGACAACAGGUCCUAAGCUCUUCCAGGCUUAUAGACAACAGGUACUAAGCUCUUCCAGGCUUAUAGACAACAGGUACUAAGCUCUUCCAGGCUUAUAGACAACAGGUACUAAGCUCUUCCAGGCUUAUAGACAACAGGUCCUAAGCUCUUCCAGGCUUAUAGACAACAGG